CACGUAGGGGACGAGCGUUGUCCGGAUUCAUUGGGCGUAAAGCGCGCGUAGGCGGCUCGGAAAGUCGGUCGUGAAAUGCCGGGGCUCAACCCCGGGACUGCGUCCGAUACUCCCGAGCUGGAGGCAGGUAGGGGAGAUCGGAAUUCCUGGUGUAGCGGUGAAAUGCGCAGAUAUCAGGAGGAACACCGGUGGCGAAGGCGGAUCUCUGGGCCUGCACUGACGCUCAUGCACGAAAGCGUGGGGAGCAAACAGG
RNAcentral lists this ribosomal RNA (253 nucleotides) under uncultured bacterium. RNAcentral's name for it is "partial 16S ribosomal RNA". It matches the Rfam family "Bacterial small subunit ribosomal RNA", at positions 524 to 776 of the family's 1533-position model. The record is from RNAcentral.